UCGUAUUGAAACCUUUUUCUUUUAAGUAAGUUUAUAAUCAGUAAAUAUAUGAGACGGGUGAGUUCGCUUACGCAGCGCUGCGUGACCGUUAAGUUAUGUGGCUAAAUGAAGCUAAGCUAACGGUUUUCAGACCGUUAGCAUUGCAACUAACUGCGAGUACCUGUGGCGCGGUUGGGGGUCUUCCUGGCGAUGCAGCUGACCAGGUUUCAGGGCUCCUAAUUACUAACUAGUUAAUGGCAGCUAAUUAUUUGGCCGACGAACGUGUAAGCAACUUAACUCGUGAAUAACAGAAACAAGAGUUUACUUGUUAAACCGGUGGCUGACAAGAAUGUUGGACUAUCAACGGUUAAAACGUUUUUUUAGCCACUUAGAAGUUAACGAGGUCAUUUCAUAUUCGUUUAUCAAAACAUUACCGAAGAGUCACAUGGUUGGAAAGUUGGCCACCUAAUAUCUGGAUAUAUCUGCAUGCACGUCCAGCGAGUCCACUGUGAGGUCGUAAGGGUCCAUGCUGAGGUUGUUGAAGACUUGCUUGAGUGUAAUCUUCUGGCAGCCCUUCUCCAGCACCACACGUUCUUCCUCUGUCUGAUGACACCAGUAACAUUUGCCCUCGCAUUGGCACAGCUUUCAGCCUGCCACUUGGCUAGCACAUUCCGGAAGCUGUCAUUCCUGAAGAGCCUCUCCACACGUGUAUGCUCUCUCGACUGCAACAGCUGAACAGUGCCUUGAUGACCUUGACCUACAUCCCCCGAACUAUAGAAAGCUGAGCUACACAAAGUAAUCCCGACUGAGCUCAGCGUCAGAAAAGGCUGCUGGGCCCCAGUUUGUGAUCAUCUGCUGCCCCUUGGAGCCUGGAGAAGACAAAUUCAAGAGACUGUUCACCAUAGUGCCUGCAGGGCGUUCUCCUUGGCCAGACGCUCCUUCUCCAGCUCCUGCUUCUCAGCUUCCGUCUCUGAGAUGGCUCGCUGCUGCCGCAGGUGGAUCUGUUCCAGCUCUGCUCUCUUCAUGGCCUCUUCCUCCAGUAACCUGCUCGACACAGAUAUUAACAUGUGUCCUCUCCGACAUAGUAGGAGAUGGAGUUGGGCUUCAGCAUGAACCAGCGCUCCGUCCAGUUCUUCCUCUUGUGACCUUUCUUCAUCAUGUAGCCCUGCAGAGAGAAACAGGGACAUGAAUCAUGGAUGAGCUCCUGGUAGACCUCGCUGAUGCCCAUGGACAGCGUCUGGAUGUCCAUGCCUUUACUGAAGUGACCCGACCCCACCAGGAU
This is a long non-coding RNA of Thunnus maccoyii (southern bluefin tuna), 1261 nucleotides long. RefSeq lists it as uncharacterized. The transcript is spliced from 7 exons. NCBI's taxonomy places the organism in Eukaryota, Metazoa, Chordata, Actinopteri, Scombriformes, Scombridae. The record is from RefSeq and is a predicted model, not a curated record.